GGGCAAAUGCUCACCUUCGAUGGCCACUGGCACGCUGGAGAAGUGUGCUCUUCACGGAUGAAUCCCGGUUUCAACUGUACCGGGAAGAUGGCGAGUAGUAUGGCGUUGUGUGAGUGAGCUGUUUGCUGAUGUCAACGUUGUGAACAGAGUGCACCAGGGUGGGGGUGGAGUUAUGGUAUGGGCAGGCAUAAGCUACGAACAACGAACACAAUUGCAUUUUAUCAAUGUCAAUUUGAAUGCACAGAGAUACCGUGACGAGAUCCUGUUGCCCGUUGUCGUGCCAUUCAUCUGCCCCCAUCACCUGAUGUUUCAGCAUGAUAAUACACUGCCCCAUGUCGCAAGGAACUGUUCACAAUUCCUGGAAGCAGAAAAUGUCCCAGUUCUUCUUAUGGUCUGCAUACUAACCAGACGUGUCACCCAUUGAGCACGUUUGGUAUGCUCUGGAUCGACGUGUACGACAGUUCCCGACAAUAUCUAGCAACUUCGUACAGCCAUUGAAGAGGAGUGGGACAACAUUUCACAGACCACAAUCAACAGCGUUAUCAACUGUAUGUAAAGGAGAUGUGUCGCGCUGCUUGAGGCAGAUGGGGGUCACUUCAGAUACUGACUGGUUUUAUGAUCCAAGCCUUUUUUUGUAGUUGGAUAUAUCCAGGUAUCACACGAAGGGCCACUGUAGGAAGCUUGGCUCGCCAAAGAAUGAUACCACAGAUGAUCUUCCUGAUAACACUAGGACUGCAGAGAGAGCCUCAAUGAGAUGGCCACCCUCCCUCACGGUUUUGAGGACAGCAGAGCCACACGUACGACAGACGCAGUCCAUCCCCACUCACCCUCCCUGCACCCCCCUGAAGCACACCCCACCCGGUCCUUAUGGACAUGGAUAUCCACCACAUCCACCUCAGCCUUCAGCCAAGGAGCGGUCCAAGUCGGUGGAGCCCAGAUACGAGCCCCGCCACCUGGACUUUAACUUCCUGCGCAGAGCCUCUGCCAUAGAGCAGGUAGAGGGGGAGCUCCAGUACCGGUGUGCUGGGUGCCUGUUGCUCUAUCCCAGCUUGGCCGUGCUGCAGAACCACAUCGGCCUCAGCUGGAUGGAGGGCUUCAGCUGCCGCGUCUUCUACAGGAAGCUGAGGGAGAUCUGCAACAGGAACGAAACCAAGAAGCUCCACGAGAGGGUCCAAACAAGUAGUGUCGCUGAGAAGCAGCUGAGGCCACCAACGUGUGGGGCAGCGCUGGGCCUUGCUAGAGGGGGUAGGAGUGGAGGGCAGACAGGGCUGAAGCAGGGAGAUCCUCCUGGAGCUGCUGCAGGAAGGAAGGACCAGGGGGCACCCAGCCACAGGUUGACUCUGGAGUCGGUGGAGACCAUAAGAAGGAACACAGCCGUUCACAAGUGGCUGAAUGAGAUUGAAUGUUACCCCUUCCCUGAUGUCACCCAGUCACCAGAGAGAGCAUAAAAACAUCCCUCUUUUUGAUUCAUCAGUUUCACUGAAUGAGAAAGACUAUUGGCACUGAAUUAAAGACUAUUGGCAUUGAAUUAAAAACUAUUGGCAUUACAUUUCUCAGUGUAAAGGUGUCAUUGCUGUCCUUAGAGGAUUUGCUCUGGGAUGGUGGGACUGGUUUGUGUUAUUCACAGGCAGAUAAGUUGCUGUCUGUGUUCACACACGUGUGAAUUAAAAUACCAUCACUGCUGACCGGG
Oncorhynchus tshawytscha (Chinook salmon) is the source of this 1690-nucleotide long non-coding RNA. Lineage: Eukaryota; Metazoa; Chordata; Actinopteri; Salmoniformes; Salmonidae. The record is from Ensembl.